Molecule: ribosomal RNA, 466 nt
Filed under: uncultured bacterium
Lineage: Bacteria
Description: partial 16S ribosomal RNA
Rfam family: Bacterial small subunit ribosomal RNA
Source: RNAcentral
GACGAACGCUGGCGGCGUGCUUAACACAUGCAAGUCGAACGGAAAGGCCCUGCUUGCAGGGUACUCGAGUGGCGAACGGGUGAGUAACACGUGGGUGAUCUGCCCUGCACUUCGGGAUAAGCUUGGGAAACUGGGUCUAAUACCGGAUAGGAGCCAUCUUUAGUGUGGUGGUUGGAAAGUUUUUUCGGUGUAGGAUGAGCUCGCGGCCUAUCAGCCUGUUGGUGGGGUAAUGGCCUACCAAGGCGGCGACGGGUAGCCGGCCUGAGAGGGUGUACGGCCACAUUGGGACUGAGAUACGGCCCAGACUCCUACGGGAGGCAGCAGUGGGGAAUAUUGCACAAUGGACGCAAGCCUGAUGCAGCGACGCCGCGUGGGGGAUGAAGGCCUUCGGGUUGUAAACUCCUUUCGCUAGGGACGAAGCUUUUUUGUGACGGUACCUAGAUAAGAAGCACCGGCUAACUACGUG